AGAACGAACGCUGGCGGCAUGCCUAACACAUGCAAGUCGAACGAGAUCCUUCGGGGUCUAGUGGCGCACGGGUGCGUAACGCGUGGGAAUCUGCCCUUAGGUACGGAAUAACUCAGGGAAACUUGUGCUAAUACCGUAUGAUGUCUUCGGACCAAAGAUUUAUCGCCUAGGGAUGAGCCCGCGUAGGAUUAGCUAGUUGGUGGGGUAAAGGCCUACCAAGGCGACGAUCCUUAGCUGGUCUGAGAGGAUGAUCAGCCACACUGGGACUGAGACACGGCCCAGACUCCUACGGGAGGCAGCAGUGGGGAAUAUUGGACAAUGGGCGAAAGCCUGAUCCAGCAAUGCCGCGUGAGUGAAGAAGGCCUUCGGGUUGUAAAGCUCUUUUACCCGGGAAGAGUAAUGACUGUACCGGGAGAAUAAGCCCGGCUAACUCCGCGCCAGCAGCCGC
RNAcentral lists this ribosomal RNA (448 nucleotides) under uncultured bacterium. RNAcentral's name for it is "SSU rRNA". It matches the Rfam family "Bacterial small subunit ribosomal RNA", at positions 26 to 518 of the family's 1533-position model. The record is from RNAcentral.